This 645-nucleotide ribosomal RNA is filed under the name Osmoporus protractus. Its description in RNAcentral is "eukaryotic LSU rRNA". The stretch from base 245 to 398 matches the Rfam family "5.8S ribosomal RNA". The record is from RNAcentral. Lineage: Eukaryota; Fungi; Basidiomycota; Agaricomycetes; Gloeophyllales; Gloeophyllaceae.
CAAUUAGAGGAAGUAAAAGUCGUAACAAGGUUUCCGUAGGUGAACCUGCGGAAGGAUCAUUAACGAGUAAACARGGGAGUUGUAGCUGGCCGCAAGGCAUGUGCACGCUCUCUACUCAAUCCAACCUUACACCUGUGCACCUAUUGUAGGUCGAGUGGCUGGACUUGUUCUGGUCGCUCUUCCUAUGUUUUACACAUACACUUGUAGUCUCAGAAUGUAAUCCGCGUAUAACGCAUUAUAAAACAACUUUCAACAACGGAUCUCUUGGCUCUCGCAUCGAUGAAGAACGCAGCGAAAUGCGAUAAGUAAUGUGAAUUGCAGAAUUCAGUGAAUCAUCGAAUCUUUGAACGCACCUUGCGCUCCUUGGUAUUCCGAGGAGCAUGCCUGUUUGAGUGUCAUGAAUAUCUCAACUCAUCCGGUUUUUAUUAACUGUGGUGGGCUUGGACUUGGAGGUAUGCUGGCUGACUAGUCGGCUCCUCUCUAAAUGUAUUAGCUGGACCUGUUACGGAUCAGUACUCGGUGUGAUAAUUGUCUACGCCGUGUCUGUGAAGUGCUUGAAUGGACUAGCUUCUAACCGUCUUCGGACAACUACUGACAUUUUGACCUCAAAUCAGGUAGGAUUACCCGCUGAACUUAAGCAUAUCA